UACAGAGGUGGCGAGCGUUGUUCGGAUUCAUUGGGCGUAAAGGGUCCGUAGGCGGUCCGGAAAGUCGGGUGUGAAAUCCCACAGCUCAACUGUGGAACUGCAUUCGAAACUCCCGGACUAGAGUGUGAGAGGGGUGAAGGGAAUUCCCGGUGUAAGGGUGAAAUCUGCAGAGAUCGGGAGGAACACCAGUCGCGAAGGCGCUUCACUGGCUCACUACUGACGCUCAGGGACGAAAGCUAGGGUAGCAAACGGG
RNAcentral lists this ribosomal RNA (253 nucleotides) under uncultured bacterium. RNAcentral's name for it is "partial 16S ribosomal RNA". It matches the Rfam family "Bacterial small subunit ribosomal RNA", at positions 524 to 776 of the family's 1533-position model. The record is from RNAcentral.